ACCUGGCUGGCUCAGUCGGUUGAGUAUGUGACUCUUGAUCUUGGGGUUGUGAGUUUGAGCCCCACGCUGGGUA
Molecule: transfer RNA, 73 nt
Filed under: Ailuropoda melanoleuca (giant panda)
Lineage: Eukaryota; Metazoa; Chordata; Mammalia; Carnivora; Ursidae
Rfam family: tRNA
About the family: Transfer RNA (tRNA) molecules are approximately 80 nucleotides in length.
Source: Rfam by way of RNAcentral